This 225-nucleotide unclassified non-coding RNA is filed under the name plant metagenome. Its description in RNAcentral is "partial contains small subunit ribosomal RNA, internal transcribed spacer 1, and 5.8S ribosomal RNA". The record is from RNAcentral.
UUUUCGUAGGUGAACCUGCGGAAGGAUCAUUACAGAGCUGCGACUCCCUCGGGAGUCAUCUCCACCCCUUGACUACCAAAUAUUGUUGCUUUGGCGGGCCCCGGCCCUGCCGUCGCCGGCCCCGGCUGGCGAGCGCCCGCCAGAGGCUUUUAAAAUCUUGCUUGCACUGAGUCUGAGCGGUACAAAAAAUGCGAAAAACUUUCAACAACGGAUCUCUUGGUUCUG